Molecule: long non-coding RNA, 277 nt
Organism: Rosa chinensis
Lineage: Eukaryota; Viridiplantae; Streptophyta; Magnoliopsida; Rosales; Rosaceae
Exons: 2
Source: RefSeq, a predicted model, not a curated record
UCCCAGCAACAAUCCCUCACCGUCGCUUAGGAUUUCAGAUGGCCUUGUAUGGAGGUGGCCAAAUGGUGGAAGGAUUCGUCCAAAGUUUUGUUAGAUUUUAACUCAAUAUUAGGCGUGCAAGUGGGGAGUGAGAAAUUUUGUAUUCAACAUGAAAAUGAAUUGAUUUGAGAUACAUUGAGGGCAAUCUUAUAAUCAUUAUUGAGCUUAACCUUAUUGUGUGACAUAUUUUUUACUGAAUACAUGUGAUGAUGCUAAUAUAAAAAAGGUAUCGCUUUAA